ACGCUCGACACCUACGGGAGGCCAGCAGUGGGGAAUAUUGGGCAAUGGGCGAAAGCCUGACCCAGCAACGCCGCGUGAGGGAAGAAGGUUUUCGGAUUGUAAACCUCUGUCCUCAGGGACGAAGGACGUGACGGUACCUGAGGAGGAAGCCCCGGCUAACUACGUGUCCAGCAGCCGCGGUAAUCUGAGCGGGCUGGCAAGGC
Molecule: ribosomal RNA, 203 nt
Filed under: uncultured bacterium
Lineage: Bacteria
Description: partial 16S ribosomal RNA
Rfam family: Bacterial small subunit ribosomal RNA
Source: RNAcentral